Molecule: long non-coding RNA, 1307 nt
Filed under: Sinocyclocheilus grahami
Lineage: Eukaryota; Metazoa; Chordata; Actinopteri; Cypriniformes; Cyprinidae
Description: lncRNA (ENSSGRG00000034801.1)
Source: RNAcentral
GAAUGUUGUGGCCGUCAUUAAAGUGAAUUAUGUAUGUGGUUCUCAGGGGAACUAGAAAGACAACAGGUUGUGAGAAAUCAAACUAACAAGAACGGCACACAACUAGACAUCCACGCUGGACCUAGUUCUGCUUCAGGGGAUGAUUUUUAUGAGAAAACGGGAAGCAACACGGUAGAGCGCUCAGCAACACCUGGCCGUCCUGCCUAGCCCCGCCCCUGGCUCCGCCCUCACCAUCUCCCCCGACACCCUGAUCCAGUGCCAGCAGAUCGUGAAGGUGAUCGUCGUAGACUCUGCUGGGCGUGGCCACGUGGAGGCGUUCCUCAGCCACAACCCUGCCCAUCGCCUCAUCCAAUCAGCCGUCUCCACGCCCACCAGGUCACGGGAGGCAGGCAAGCAGCAGCAGCCGCCCCUCCCUCCCCCGCCGCCUCCUUAUCAUCACCCGCAUCAGUUUUGCCCCCCGACCCCUCCGCCUCCACGCCACCUGCUGAGCCAACGCAGGUACUCCAGCGGGACACGCAGCCUAGUCUGAACAACACACAGAUCGGUUAACAACUGUUAAAGGGACGGUUCACUUAAAAAGAACAUUCUGUCUUUAUUUAAUCAACCUCAUGUUGUUCCAAACCCAUAUGAGACCCUGGAUCACAAAACCAUUCAUAAGGGUCAUUUUUUUAAAAUUGAGAUUUAUACAUUGUCACCUGAAUAAAUAAGCUUUGCAUUGAUGUAUGGUUGGUUAGGAUAGGACAAUAUUUGGCCGAGAUACAACUAUUUGAAAAUCUGGAAUCUGAGGGUGCAAAAAAAUCUAAACAUUGAGAAAAUCGCAUUUAAAGUUGUCCAAAUGAAGUUCUUAGCAAUGCAUAUUACUAAUCAAAAACUAAGUUUUGAUAUAUUUAUGGUAGGAAAUUUACAAAAUAUCUUCAUGGAACAUGAUCUUUACUUAAUGUCCUAAUGAUUCUUGGCAUAAAAGAAAAAUUUUAUCAUUUUGACCCAUACAAUGUAUUGUUGGCUAUUGCUACAAAUAUACCCGUGUUUUGUGGUCCAGGGUCACAAAUGCUAUUUUUUCAGAACAAAAAACAUUUUGAAUAAUCUUUACACAGCUUUUUUCAAUACAAAGACAAUUUAUAGUUAAAAAAACACAGCAUAAAAAGCACAAUUAAAUACAGUCUGUACAAUUUGUGGGCGCUGAAGUCCUCUGAAGCCAUAUGUAAUUUAUGUCCAUAAAAUGUAUGUUCACUGGAAUACUAAAUGACUUUCACAGAAACAUUAAGAUGCAUUAAUGUUUUUUAAAGAAACGGAAAAAAAAGAAAAAC